Harpia harpyja (harpy eagle) is the source of this 1087-nucleotide long non-coding RNA. RefSeq lists it as uncharacterized. Lineage: Eukaryota; Metazoa; Chordata; Aves; Accipitriformes; Accipitridae. The transcript is spliced from 3 exons. The record is from RefSeq and is a predicted model, not a curated record.
GUUUACCUCAGCACCCGGCUGUCUCUUGAGUCUCACUUGGCUGCAGGGAAGGAAAGUUACUCUUUGCAGACCUGAUGCUAACCCACCCACAGUAAACAAAAGUUCCUCCACUUCAUCUACAGACACAAGUAAGUGCCUUCUCACAGUGUUUCAUAUCAAAUUCCUGAAUGUUAGAAAUGAAUAUUGAAACAAAACAAAACCAAGCCAACGCUGUUGUUUAUUGUAGUACUGACUUUUUGAAAGCAAAUGGCUACAUAGCAGUAUUUGAGAUAUCAGUUAUUUUUCUGCAUAUUGGAAAGCCUGCAGCACCCAAGAUACCACCAUGGGUAGCAGCCAAUCCUGAGAUGCCUGUGAAAGGACAGGCAGCCUCCCUCCCCUAAAGCCAAAUGUGGCCUCAUCACCUCUCCCAUCUGUGCCUGAGUAGCAAAUAGGAACCAGCUGUGUAACAUGCACAGCCCACCCAGCAGCAGGCAAGAGGCUGUCCUGGAGAACUUUUAGAGAAAUUGUGAUAGAAACAAAGAAUGAACAAAGCACCUCUGGCACAGAGAGCAGGAAGAGGACCAGGGAAAGCACUGAAGUAGGUUCUGCCUUUGAAAGGCUGGUGUAGAGCAGGAUGGAGAGGCAUGAGCACAGUGCUUCAAACUGCUGCUUGGACUGCCUAUAUAAGUCACUCACAGUAAGGAAAAGGAAGGAGCAACCCCUGUUGCAAAUACACAUAUUCUGGACUGGGACCUGGAAGAGCAGGUGUAAGCCUAUGGAAAACAAGUUGGCCCCGACAUGUCUAAAUAAAGACAAGUUGUUUGAAAUGCAGCAAGAGGAAAGGGCAAGGAAGACAUAUUUUCUUUGGGGGAGCAUAUCUCUUUACUGGUGGCGUGCUUUCUACCUGUUCAAAAGCAAACUUCAAGGUGACUGAUCGGUCUUAGCCAGCCUGAGUGAGGGAUAACAUUUUCAGAGAGCUGCUACAGAGGAAGGACUACAUGUUACAGGCAAAAUUCAAUGGGAUGCAGAGGAGACUCUGUGGAGAGUGGAGAAUGGAGGCAGGAGCCCAGAAGAGGGCUGGGGAGAGUCACUUGUGCCUCAAGUGACC